GUGUCAGCAGCCGCGGUAAUACGUAGGGGGCAAGCGUUGUCCGGAUUUAUUGGGCGUAAAGAGCGUGUAGGCGGUUAGAUAGGUCUGCUGUGAAAACUCCAGGCUCAACCUGGAGACGUCGGUGGAAACCAUCUGGCUAGAGUCCGGAAGAGGAGAGUGGAAUUCCUGGUGUAGCGGUGAAAUGCGCAGAUAUCAGGAAGAACACCCGUGGCGAAGGCGGCUCUCUGGGACGGUACUGACGCUGAGACGCGAAAGCGUGGGGAGCGAACAGGAUUAGAUACCCCUGUAGUCC
RNAcentral lists this ribosomal RNA (292 nucleotides) under uncultured bacterium. RNAcentral describes it as "partial 16S ribosomal RNA". It matches the Rfam family "Bacterial small subunit ribosomal RNA", at positions 505 to 796 of the family's 1533-position model. The record is from RNAcentral.